This 305-nucleotide ribosomal RNA is filed under the name uncultured Fusobacterium sp. RNAcentral describes it as "bacterial SSU rRNA". It matches the Rfam family "Bacterial small subunit ribosomal RNA", at positions 505 to 810 of the family's 1533-position model. The record is from RNAcentral. Lineage: Bacteria; Fusobacteriati; Fusobacteriota; Fusobacteriia; Fusobacteriales; Fusobacteriaceae.
GUGCCAGCAGCCGCGGUAAUACGUAUGUCACAAGCGUUAUCCGGAUUUAUUGGGCGUAAAGCGCGUCUAGGUGGUUAUGUAAGUCUGAUGUGAAAAUGCAGGGCUCAACUCUGUAUUGCGUUGGAAACUGUGUAACUAGAGUACUGGAGAGGUAAGCGGAACUACAAGUGUAGAGGUGAAAUUCGUAGAUAUUUGUAGGAAUGCCGAUGGGGAAGCCAGCUUACUGGACAGAUACUGACGCUGAAGCGCGAAAGCGUGGGUAGCAAACAGGAUUAGAUACCCUGGUAGUCCACGCCGUAAACGAU